Long non-coding RNA from Bos taurus (domestic cattle), 2631 nucleotides. The record is from Ensembl. Lineage: Eukaryota; Metazoa; Chordata; Mammalia; Artiodactyla; Bovidae.
CCAAACACCUUACUGUAGUAAAUGUCACAUUUCUCCCCAAGCUUUUGUACUAUUGUUUAUAUACAUUUUGCUUCUACAUUUAACCCUGUAGUGCAUUGUUAUUGAUUUUACUAAAAUUUCUGUUUUUCUUUGUAUCAUGUUUAUGAUUUUCUCUACUUCCUGGAAUAUUAAUAGCUGUUUUAAUGAUCUUGUCUGCAGUCAUUCUCUUGGGGCAGUUUGUACCAACAAGGUAUAUUUGGCAUUGCCUAGAGAUACUUUGUGGAGAAGGCAAUGGCACCCCACUCCAGUACUCUUGCCUGGAAAAUCGCAUGGACGGAGGAGCCUGGUAGGCUGCAGUCCAUGGGGCCGCUAAGAGUCGGACACGACUGAGCGACUUCACUUUCACUUUUCACUUUCAUGCACUGGAGAAGGAAAUGGCAACCCACUCCAGUGUUCUUGCCUGAAGAAUCCCAGGGACAGGGCAGCCUGGUGGGCUGCUGUCUGGGGUCACACAGAGUCAGACAGGACUGAGGUGACUUAGCAGCAGCAGCAGAGAUACUUUGAGUGUCACAUCUGGGAACAAUGUUGCAUCUAGUGGAUAUAGGCCAGGGAUGCUGCUAAAUAUUCUAUUAUAUAUGCAAGAAAUAAGUACCACACCCAGAAUUUCAGCAGUACCAAGGUUAUGAAAUCUUGGUCUGGGGCUCAUUUGGUGCCACUGUUGAGGCAUUACCAUUCUAAGAACUCUGCCUAAUUCUUUGUCUCUUAGGAAAUUUUUCUGUUGUGUCUGAUGAAAGCAGACUGUACCUGGACCUAUGUUAGGAUGUUUCCACUAAUUCUUGUCUAGUGACUUUUUUCCCCUGGCCCUGUUAGAUUCUUUAUAUACUUUAUGCAGAUCGGUCUAAUAUGAUUGAUUUCAGGGAAUCAUUGUAUAUACCUCCAGAGCGCUUCCUCCUCUCUGUGCAUCUCUUUCCUCUUUUUUUUGCCUCACAAAUUCUAGUCACAUAAACCUACCUAAACUUUGAACUGUCUCCUAAGUAAAGCUAUUGCGCUAUUUUGUUGUCCCUUCCUCUUGCAUUAUAAUUUGGAAACUCUUCAACCAGUGAGCUGUGCACUUAGAGCACUCAUUUGUGUUUUCUCUCAGGUAUUAAUAUCCUGUACUGCUCUUUGUCCAUUGCCUGAAACCUUUGUUUCACAUCUGUUUUGUCCAGUUUUCUAGUUUAAUAUAGAAAAAUAAAUCUAAUUCCUGUUAUUUUGUAAUGGUAGGAAAUAGAAGUUCUUUAUAUCGAUGCUUGGUUUAUCCUUACUUUGCUUAGUGGAAGCCCCUUCAAGUUGUUUCCUGUGUUUUUUUGGCAUGUAAGUCCUUUCUGUAGUAGUGAGGAAGGUGGUUUCUUAGUUUCCACAAUAUAUUUAUUUUCUCAGCCCCAGAGUACACAGAAGUUCAGUUCAAAAUUGCUGGUUGAUACGUCUGCAAAACACAAGUAUAUUUGGCUAAAUAAAUUAGCCAAACUAAUUUAUGUUUGAAGUUCUUUUUUCUUUAGCCUGAGGGCAUAUGGUUUCAAAACUAAGUUUGCAAGUUAUCUGGGAUAUUGUUAGCAAAAAUGGCUGACUAAGGACAUCCAAGAAUUACCUUUCUCCUCUAAAAGCAGUGGAGAAAGCUGUUCAUAGUGUCAGAAUUGACGUUUUCAGAACUGCAGAAUUAACCAAAAGUUUACUAAGGGUUGUUAUUUAUUAAAAAUGGCUGAAACUUGAUAGAGUAUCUUUGUGACAUUUUAACUUGCUCUAUUCUCAUUCCCCACUCCCCAAGUCCAUGGUGUCUUGAAAAUCAGCAGCCCACAAUCAUGAUGAAAACCUGCAGCCUGACAGAUACUGGAGGAGCCAGAAGAAGCUAGAUGUUAAACAUCUUGGGCAGCCUUACAAGACAGAUUUACAAGAUGGUGAAAUUUCUGUUAAUAUCAGCCAGGGUCCCUGCUUGGUUGUAUCCAGCCACCGAUUGAACUUCACAUGAGCAAGAGCUAAGUACCACCUGUGAUAAAGGAGAAAUUUAUAAGCCCUAUCAAAAUUUUAAGGGGACUGGAAUGCAAAAGUAGGAAGUCAAGAAACACCUGGAGUAACAGGCAAAUUUGUUCUUGGAGUAUGGAAUGAAGCAGGGCAAAGUCUAAUAGAGUUUUGCCAAGAGAAUGCACUGGUCAUAGCAAACACCCUCUUCCAACAACACAAGAGAAGACUCUACACAUGGACAUCACCAGAUGGUCAACACCAAAAUCAGAUUGAUUAUAUUCUUUGCAGCCAAAGAUGGAGAAGCUAUAUAAAGUCAGCAAAAAACAAGACCAGGAGCUGACUGUGGCUCAGAUCAUGAACUCCUUAUUGCCAAAUUGACACUGAAAUUGAAGAAAGUAGGGAAAACCACUAGACCAUCAGGUAUGACCUAAAUCAAAUCCCUUAUGAUUAUACAGUGGAAGUGAGAAAUAGAUUUAAGGGACUAGAUCUGAUAGCAUGCCUGAUGAACUAUGGACGGAGGUUCGUGACAUUGUACAGGAGACAGGGAUCAAGACCAUCCCCAUGGAAAACAAAUGCAAAAAAGCCAAAUGGCUGUCUGAGGAUGCCUCACAAAUAGCUGUGAAAAGAAGAGAAGCGAAAAGAAAAGGAGAAAAG